RNAcentral lists this RNase P RNA (313 nucleotides) under Desulfobacteraceae bacterium 4572_88. Its description in RNAcentral is "partial RNase P RNA component class A". It matches the Rfam family "Bacterial RNase P class A", at positions 68 to 367 of the family's 367-position model. Rfam says of the family: Ribonuclease P (RNase P) is a ubiquitous endoribonuclease, found in archaea, bacteria and eukarya as well as chloroplasts and mitochondria. Its best characterised activity is the generation of mature 5'-ends of tRNAs by cleaving the 5'-leader elements of precursor-tRNAs. Cellular RNase Ps are ribonucleoproteins. The record is from RNAcentral. Lineage: Bacteria; Pseudomonadati; Thermodesulfobacteriota; Desulfobacteria; Desulfobacterales; Desulfobacteraceae.
AGGGUGCUCCGUAACGCGGAGUCGUGGCAACGCGAAGGAAAGUGCAACAGAAAAGAUACCGCCAGGGAAAUUUUUCCUGGUAAGGGUGAAAUGGUGCGGUAAGAGCGCACCAGUUCCCCGGGUGACCGGGGAAGCUUUGUAAACCCCACCCGGUGCAAGACCAAAUAGAGGAGUGUCUGAGGAUGGCCCGUCCAAGCUCCCGGGUAGGUUGCAGGAGAUGCGGGGCAAUCCGCAUCCGCAGAUGAAUGACCGUCACCCGGUUCGGGGAAACCCGGAACGGGAACAAAAUUCGGCUUAUGGGCUGCUCUGGCCU